CCCAGAGAAGAAGUGAUUGAAAAACCAGAUAGCAUAAGGGCUCCAGCUUUUCUCUGUUCCCAACUACAUAAUGAUAUGGUUGCAGAAUGGAAAUCAACAUUUGAUUUAUGCAAGAAAUAAGGAAACCAAAUACUCUCAAUAUCCCUAUACUUCACUUUUUAGAGGGCACCGAACAAACAAAAUGGAGAAGGGAAAAAAAAUCAUGAUGGUAGAUAAAAAGGCACCCAACCAAUAUACCUCCAUGAACUUCCGAAUGAAUUUUGGGCAUGGUGAUCUCCUUCAGAGGGAGCAAGUAGUUACAAAAAUUAGGAACAAAACCAGAUGGCUAAAAAUUCAGGCUCGUAGAUGGAUAGCUAGAUUUUCACAUCUAGAGUAGAAAGGACAAUGCAGGAACACUCACACACUCACACACACACACAUAGAGAGAGAGAGAGAAAGAACAGAGGAAGAGUCAUUGAGCGCACACAAGAGGGCUGGACAGCAGAUAACCUCCACAAUCUACAACAGUAAAGGUAUCUUGCCGUUGAAAGGAUAAGGGCUGUAAUAUGAGACGUUGCACCGUGUUUUUUGUACAUAAUCUCAUCCCUAAUCCGUGAAAAUCCAUAUUAUUUUUCCAUCCAUGUGGUACUUGAUGGAAAAAUGGGACUCCAACAUGACCAUUUGAUAUGCACCUCAUCGAUAAAAGGGACUAUGCAAGGUUCACUGUUCCGAAAUUAGUUACUAUGGCUUAUUGAUAUGAUACAGUAUAUGCA
This 752-nucleotide long non-coding RNA is filed under the name Elaeis guineensis (African oil palm). Its description in RNAcentral is "long non-coding RNA (EGUI_LNC031464)". The record is from RNAcentral. Lineage: Eukaryota; Viridiplantae; Streptophyta; Magnoliopsida; Arecales; Arecaceae.